Long non-coding RNA from Rhea pennata, 951 nucleotides. RefSeq lists it as uncharacterized. The transcript is spliced from 3 exons. The record is from RefSeq and is a predicted model, not a curated record. Lineage: Eukaryota; Metazoa; Chordata; Aves; Rheiformes; Rheidae.
CCCAGCUCUCCGGGCGUACAGUUAUCCAUUAACCCAAGCUAGCUCACCCUGUCUUUGCUGGCUGGGGUUUAAGUACCCCGUGGUUAUACUUAGCAGCGGUUCCCCAGCCUCUCUCCCUAACCUGCAUGUUUAUUUUCCGUAAGGCUCUUACGGGUUUAACCGCCUCCCUGGAAUCUGCAUUUGUCUAGCGGAUCUGGAUUCCCUCCCACUGGCGCCCGGCAGCCUCUGACAAGGAAUUGGCCCAUCAGUGACCCACCUGUUGGACUAGUUAAAAAAACAAAUCCCCUCACAUGGACAUCUCUGACUGCAUCUGAAAGUGUAUUCACACCUCCACAUUCACUGCCUCCCAUAUCCUUACUUGCUGCAGAGUGCUAGAGGAAGAGUCAACCUCACCUGUGGGGCCUUAUUCAGCAGAGAAAUGCGGACAGGCAACUGUGCGUGCACGUGUGUGACCACCAGCUUCAAAGAGGCAAUAUGGAUCUAUCCACAUUCAUCCUGCUGUAGGAUCAGUUCUUGGUCAUUUAUUUUAUUUAGCUGUUCUUGCAAAAAAACUGAGGCUUGGCUGCUUUAUAUUAUGUUUAAAAGAAUGUGAGGGAUAAGGAGGAAAAAUGAUGCAAUCAUCAGAAAAUUAUACGAAACAGCAAUAAAAUUUUACUAGUCUAAUGAAAAGGAGAGAUGGAAUACAAACCUACAACAAACAUUUUUAUCACAUGGCUAUAUUUUGUUUAAUAAGAGAAGUUAUUCUUAAGUGAAUGAAUGAUUCAAAUGGAAAAAUAUGUUCUAAAUGUUCAUCAUCUCUGUAGGAGAGUGUUGUUUCAACAUGCACAUUGUGGUUUGAGAGAGAACAGUUUGGCUUUGUAACGAAGAUACGAGCUUUAGUGGUAAGAAAAGGCUGCAUUACUUUAAAAAUCAGUCAAGGCUCCAGAAAUAAAACUUUAUUUAAUGGAAAAA